GGGGAUUUAGCUCAGUGGUAUAAGCACCUGCCUGACAGGCAUGAGAUUAUGGAGUUCAAUCCCCA
Molecule: transfer RNA, 65 nt
Filed under: Cavia porcellus (domestic guinea pig)
Lineage: Eukaryota; Metazoa; Chordata; Mammalia; Rodentia; Caviidae
Rfam family: tRNA
About the family: Transfer RNA (tRNA) molecules are approximately 80 nucleotides in length. Their secondary structure includes four short double-helical elements and three loops (D, anti-codon, and T loops). Further hydrogen bonds mediate the characteristic L-shaped molecular structure. tRNAs have two regions of fundamental functional importance: the anti-codon, which is responsible for specific mRNA codon recognition, and the 3' end, to which the tRNAs corresponding amino acid is attached (by aminoacyl-tRNA synthetases). tRNAs cope with the degeneracy of the genetic code in two manners: having more than one tRNA (with a specific anti-codon) for a particular amino acid; and 'wobble' base-pairing, i.e. permitting non-standard base-pairing at the 3rd anti-codon position.
Source: Rfam by way of RNAcentral